RNAcentral lists this ribosomal RNA (460 nucleotides) under uncultured bacterium. Its description in RNAcentral is "partial 16S ribosomal RNA". It matches the Rfam family "Bacterial small subunit ribosomal RNA", at positions 338 to 795 of the family's 1533-position model. The record is from RNAcentral.
CCUACGGGUGGCAGCAGUGAGGAAUUUUGGUCAAUGGACGAGAGUCUGAACCAGCCAAGUCGCGUGAAGGAUGACUGCCCUAUGGGUUGUAAACUUCUUUUAUAAAGGAAUAAAACGACGCACGUGUGUCUUUUUGCAUGUACUUUAUGAAUAAGGAUCGGCUAACUCCGUGCCAGCAGCCGCGGUAAUACGGAGGAUACGAGCGUUAUCCGGAUUUAUUGGGUGUAAAGGGAGCGUAGAUGGGUUGUUAAGUCAGUUGUGAAAGUUUGCGGCUCAACCGUGAAAUUGCAAUUGAUACUGGCAGUCUUGAGUACAGUUGAGGAGGGCGGAAUGCGUUGUGUAGCGGUGAAAUGCUUAGAUAUCACGAAGAACUCCGAUUGCGAAGGCAGCUUACUAAACUGCCACUGACAUUGAUGCUCGAAAGUGUGGGUAGCAAACAGGAUUAGAUACCCUUGUAGUC